GAAGCUCAAAGUGGGAUGAAGUG
RNAcentral lists this non-coding RNA (23 nucleotides) under Arabidopsis thaliana (thale cress). The record is from RNAcentral. Lineage: Eukaryota; Viridiplantae; Streptophyta; Magnoliopsida; Brassicales; Brassicaceae.